GCCGAGGGGGGACUGUCAGGAGAGGUAUUGCAGGAUGUCUCUACAUCAAGGCAUCGCUGCAAUACCCUUAAAGCGUCUGAAAGCGAUCACGAUUGCUUCCAGCGCUAUUUGCAACGGACGUACUAAGUACGUUCCCGGUACUUAAGGACAGUUUUUUGGACUCCUUAGGGAGUUAAAAUACCUUUAUUUAAAUUUCCUGUGAUGUCUACUGUAUAUAAAUAUAUUAUCUUAUGUCACAAUUUUGUCUUCCAUAACGCUAUUAAACUUAGAAGACAAAGAUAUCAAAUUCUAAAAUUGUUCCAAAUUUAAAUUGUAUUCAACCUCUUGUAUUGUGUGACCUGUAACUGCCAAAAAUAAACUGAAAUUUAAGACAAGUGAUGUAC
Molecule: non-coding RNA, 383 nt
Organism: Pelobates cultripes (western spadefoot toad)
Lineage: Eukaryota; Metazoa; Chordata; Amphibia; Anura; Pelobatidae
Source: the annotation of a GenBank genome assembly